AAGCUUUUUGCUCGCAUUAUAUUUUGGAUUUGAAUAUAAGACGAACAAAAGGUUUGU
Molecule: microRNA precursor, 57 nt
Filed under: Sarcophilus harrisii (Tasmanian devil)
Lineage: Eukaryota; Metazoa; Chordata; Mammalia; Dasyuromorphia; Dasyuridae
Description: Sha-Mir-208-P1_pre stem-loop
Rfam family: mir-208 microRNA precursor family
Source: RNAcentral